Molecule: transfer RNA, 76 nt
Filed under: Bacillota bacterium
Lineage: Bacteria; Bacillati; Bacillota
Also listed under: 2 other names
Description: tRNA-Ala
Rfam family: tRNA
About the family: Transfer RNA (tRNA) molecules are approximately 80 nucleotides in length. Their secondary structure includes four short double-helical elements and three loops (D, anti-codon, and T loops).
Source: RNAcentral
GGGGCAGUGGCUCAGUUGGGAGAGCGCGUCCUUCGCACGGACGAGGUCGGGGGUUCGAAUCCCCUCUGCUCCACCA